Molecule: ribosomal RNA, 460 nt
Filed under: uncultured bacterium
Lineage: Bacteria
Description: partial 16S ribosomal RNA
Rfam family: Bacterial small subunit ribosomal RNA
Source: RNAcentral
CCUACGGGAGGCUGCAGUGAGGAAUAUUGGUCAAUGGCCGGAAGGCUGAACCAGCCAUGCCGCGUGAAGGUCAGUGCCCUAUGGGCGUUAAACUUCUUUUGUGCGGGAGCAAUAAUGGUCACGUGUGGCCAGACGAGAGUACCGUACGAAUAAGCAUCGGCUAACUCCGUGCCAGCAGCCGCGGUAAUACUGGGGAUGCAAGCGUUAUCCGGAUUUAUUGGGUUUAAAGGGUGCGUAGGCUGUGAGGUAAGUCAGCGGUGAAAUGCCCCCGCUCAACGGGGUGAAGUGCCAUUGAUACUGCCUUGCUGGAGUGCGGAUGCCGUGGGAGGAAUGUGUGGUGUAGCGGUGAAAUGCAUAGAUAUCACACAGAACACCGAUUGCGAAGGCAGCUCACGAAUCCGCGAUUGACGCUGAUGCACGAAAGCGUGGGUAUCAAACAGGAUUAGAUACCCCUGUAGUC